UUUGUCUUCGUUAUUCAUUUCUCCAUCUUCAUCAUUUCUUUUUCCAUUUCCACCGUCUCCUCUCAAGGAAAAGCAAAACUCAUCCACCAGAAGCUAAGCAAGAAAGAAGAAGGAAGGUUUUGUGAAAUUGAAGCUGAAGAGGAAGAAGAGAACCUUGGAAAAGUGACAUCUAUGGCAGAAGUAUGGCCGAGAAGAAUUAAACCGAGCUUACAGACCAAGGAUCUAGCCCAAGACUGUAGAGAUCGAGUUCCUGGUGCCUGAUAGACUGCCUUAGUCUGCUGAAGCUCCGUUAUCGGUUGCCAGUAUGUGUUUCGAGUUGGGCAUAGAGUCUGUUGUGUUAUGAUGUAUAUACACCCUUGUAUAUUAUAGAUACUCCACAAAUUGUAUAAGCUUUAGGAGCUGCAGUUGUGUAAAUUUUUGUUGGUUAUGUUUUGGUUAACGUGUCUCUAGGUUUACUUGUGAAAUUAGUUAUUUUUAAGAUACAUUUUAUGAUAUAUAUGAUUAGUCUAGGAUUCGCUGCGUUGUGUACAUGUAUAAUAGUUUAUAUACUAGACUGGCAAG
This is a long non-coding RNA of Cucumis melo (muskmelon), 561 nucleotides long. RefSeq lists it as uncharacterized. Lineage: Eukaryota; Viridiplantae; Streptophyta; Magnoliopsida; Cucurbitales; Cucurbitaceae. The record is from RefSeq and is a predicted model, not a curated record. The transcript has 3 exons.